RNAcentral lists this ribosomal RNA (280 nucleotides) under uncultured bacterium. RNAcentral describes it as "partial 16S ribosomal RNA". It matches the Rfam family "Bacterial small subunit ribosomal RNA", at positions 29 to 334 of the family's 1533-position model. The record is from RNAcentral.
AACGAACGCUGGCGGCGUGCCUAACACAUGCAAGUCGAACGAACUUCUUCGGAAGUGAGUGGCGCACGGGUGCGUAACGCGUGGGAACCUGCCUUUAGGUUCGGAAUAACAGUUAGAAAUGACUGCUAAUACCGGAUAAUGUCUUCGGACCAAAGAUUUAUCGCCUUUAGAUGGGCCCGCGUUAGAUUAGCUUGUUGGUGGGGUAAUGGCCUACCAAGGCGACGAUCUAUAGCUGGUCUGAGAGGAUGAUCAGCCACACUGGGACUGAGACACGGCCCAG